ACAUGCGACCACACCCACUGGAGAACUCGGGAUCCCGUCCGCUCUCCCAUCGAUNNNNAAACCAGUGAGGGCCGGAGUAGUAGUUGGGUCGGUGACGACCAGCGAAUGCCCGGUGUUGCAUGUU
RNAcentral lists this ribosomal RNA (124 nucleotides) under Colletotrichum chlorophyti. The record is from RNAcentral. Lineage: Eukaryota; Fungi; Ascomycota; Sordariomycetes; Glomerellales; Glomerellaceae.